AAGGCUUUAAGUUAAUUAAACUAAUAGCCUUCAAAGCUGUAAAUAUAGGGUAUUCCUUUAAGCCUUA
Molecule: transfer RNA, 67 nt
Filed under: Drosophila takahashii
Lineage: Eukaryota; Metazoa; Arthropoda; Insecta; Diptera; Drosophilidae
Also listed under: 2 other names
Description: tRNA-Trp
Rfam family: tRNA
About the family: Transfer RNA (tRNA) molecules are approximately 80 nucleotides in length. Their secondary structure includes four short double-helical elements and three loops (D, anti-codon, and T loops).
Source: RNAcentral